Molecule: ribosomal RNA, 301 nt
Filed under: uncultured bacterium
Lineage: Bacteria
Description: partial 16S ribosomal RNA
Rfam family: Bacterial small subunit ribosomal RNA
Source: RNAcentral
CAGCCGCCACGGUAAUACGUAGGGGGCAAGCGUUAUCCGGAAUAACUGGGCGUAAAGGGUGCGCAGGUGGUUUAACAAGUUAGUGGUGAAAGGCAUAGGCUCAACCAAUGUAAGCCAUUAAAACUGUUUAACUUGAAUGCAGGAGAGGAAAGUGGAAUUCCUAGUGUAGCGGUGAAAUGCGUAGAUAUUAGGAGGAAUACCAGCGGCGAAGGCGACUUUCUGGACUGCAGCUGACACUGAGGCACGAAAGCGUGGGGAGCAAACAGGAUUAGAGACCCCUGUAGUCCCUGUCUCUUAUACA